Molecule: long non-coding RNA, 800 nt
Filed under: Marmota monax (woodchuck)
Lineage: Eukaryota; Metazoa; Chordata; Mammalia; Rodentia; Sciuridae
Source: RNAcentral
UCCUGGAUAAGUGAAAUGAUUCUUAACUGUAAGAAAAUUAUUCGUAAGCUGUAAGAAAAUUCUUACUGGAAUUUGAAGCCUAUUUUACAAGCUUUUCUCUGUUUUACUUGUUACAUGACUCUGGACUAGUUAUUUAAACUCACUUUAAUACAGUUUACUUAUUUCCAAAAUAGAUAAACUAAUAUCUUGUAACAUUGAUAGAGAAACAAUUUGAGAUACUAAUCUUGAUAUAAUAUCUGGUAUAUGGUAGAUAUUUGAUAUGGACUGAAUUCUGUCUUUCCCAGAUUCAUAUAUUGAAGCCCUCCCUCCUGAUGUGACUGUAUUUGGAGAUAAAUCGUUUAAGAAGUUGGUCAGAUCAAACAGAGCGGCAAUCUGAUAGAACUGGGUUCCUUGAAGAAGAAACAUCUCUCUCUCUCUCUCUCCCCUCUUUCCUCUGCCCCCUCCAUGAUUGAGGAAAGGCUGUGAGGACACAUUAAGAAGAUAGCUAUCUAGAUAUAAGCCAGGGAGAGAGGCCUCAUAAGAAAUCAAGAAAUCAACUCUGACACCUUGAUCUUGGCUUUCCUCCAAGAACUGUGAGAAAAAUAAAUAUUUGUUGUUUUACCACCCUGUCCAGUGUAUCUUGUUAUGGAAACCCAUGAAAAUUAGUACAUUGCUCAUUAUAUUUUAACUGAUCAUAACAAUAACUGGUGGUGGUGGUGAUGAUGAUGAUGAUGAUGAUGAUGAUGAUCCUAGAAGUCCAGGUCUAUGGAUACUUACUAAUAGGGAAUUGUAAAAUCAGGUUUGAAUUGGCACAGUUUUUA